UACGUAGGGGGCAAGCGUUGUCCGGAAUCAUUGGGCGUAAAGAGCGUGUAGGCGGUCCGGUAAGUCGGCUGUGAAAGUCCAGGGCUCAACCCUGGGAUGCCGGUCGAUACUGCCGGACUAGAGUUCGGAAGAGGCGAGUGGAAUUCCCGGUGUAGCGGUGAAGUGCGCAGAUAUCGGGAGGAACACCUAUGGCGAAGGCAGCUCGCUGGGACGUUACUGACGCUGAGACGCGAAAGCGUGGGGAGCAAACAGG
Molecule: ribosomal RNA, 253 nt
Filed under: uncultured bacterium
Lineage: Bacteria
Description: partial 16S ribosomal RNA
Rfam family: Bacterial small subunit ribosomal RNA
Source: RNAcentral